GGGGAAUUUUCCGCAAUGGGCGAAAGCCUGACGGAGCAACGCCGCGUGAGGGAUGAAGGCCUCUGGGCUGUAAACCUCUUUUCUCAAGGAAGAAGAUCUGACGGUACUUGAGGAAUAAGCCACGGCUAAUUCCGUGCCAGCAGCCGCGGUAAUACGGGAGUGGCAAGCGUUAUCCGGAAUUAUUGGGCGUAAAGCGUCCGCAGGCGGCCUUGAAAGUCUGUUGUUAAAGCGUGGAGCUUAACUCCAUUUCAGCAAUGGAAACUACAAGGCUAGAGUGUGGUAGGGGCAGAGGGAAUUCCCGGUGUAGCGGUGAAAUGCGUAGAUAUCGGGAAGAACACCAGUGGCGAAGGCGCUCUGCUGGGCCAUAACUGACGCUCAUGGACGAAAGCCAGGGGAGCGAAAGGGAUUAGAUACCCCUGUAGUC
This 424-nucleotide ribosomal RNA is filed under the name uncultured cyanobacterium. RNAcentral's name for it is "bacterial SSU rRNA". It matches the Rfam family "Bacterial small subunit ribosomal RNA", at positions 356 to 795 of the family's 1533-position model. Lineage: Bacteria; Bacillati; Cyanobacteriota. The record is from RNAcentral.